This is a non-coding RNA of Benincasa hispida (wax gourd), 1176 nucleotides long. Lineage: Eukaryota; Viridiplantae; Streptophyta; Magnoliopsida; Cucurbitales; Cucurbitaceae. The record is from RefSeq and is a predicted model, not a curated record.
AAAAAAAAAAAAAAAAAAACUACGAAUCUUUAAUGUCGGUUUUUGACUGCCAUUAUAGAAAAGACUACAAUGUCGGUUUAAAAUCGACAUUAAAAAUCUGCAUUCCUAAAUUUUCACUCAAUUUUGUGAAACUCUCUUUCUUUCUUUUUGUGAAAUAACCCUCUCUCUCUCACGCACACACAUCUCUCGCCGCCCUCCCCUCUCAUUGUUCACCACUCCUCUCAACUCAAACAUUUGACAGCUUCGCUCCACUUCGUUCAAGCACCGUCGUUCCAUCGUCGUUCAACCUUCGUUGAAGCACCGUCGAGCUCGGUUCCAGCAUCAUUCGAAGCAGACCCAACGCCAUCAAAGUAGAUCCAAUGAUUUCUCUCUCAGAUCUAUUCUUAGAUUUAUCCAUGAACUCCACUCCAGCGUCGUCGAAGCAUAACCAACGAUUUCUCUCUCAAAUUUGUCCUUAGAUCUCUCCACGAAUUCUGCUCCAGAGCUAUCAAAGCAGGUUUAACGGUUUCUCUCUCAGAUCUGUUCUUAAAUCUAUCCAUGAACUCCACUCCAGUAUCGUCGAAGCAUAUCCAACGAUUUCUCUCCCAGAUCUAUCCACGAACUGCGACCUAGUGUUGACGAAGCAUAUCUGAAAGCUCCAUUGCAGCGACCUGUGCACGAGGUCCGUUUGAAGUCCGUCGAAGGCAAUGUGUUAUGUGGGUUGUCCGAAUCUGAACAGAUUUAGCUACAUUGUUCAGAGCUACGUUGAAGGCUCUUAGAUUUACUCUCCUUUUCUUUUCCUUCUCUAUUGUUCACAUAUAUUUUUUCUUUUUAUUUCUAAAUCAACUCAUGUUUGCUUUUGCGAUCUGUAACACAGUCUUCUUAUAUGUUUUUUUUUUCUCAGGAUUCUGGAUAUUGGGAGGUGAUCUGACAGAGAUGGAAAAAUUUCUUGUCAGAGAUGAAGAGGUCCAGAGGCGAUAAUAUGGACUUUCAACUCAAGCGUUCUGUGAUUUACACUCCACAGAAGCGUAAACCUUCUUGUCAUUCUGUAUUUUUUCUUCUUAUUGUUAUUAUUUUGUUUAAUUCUGGUUAAGUAUGUUACCUCUUCGUUCUUAAUUACUUGUACGUCUUUCUCCUUCUUCCAAUUAUGUUUCCACUUAAAAUGGAAAACAAUGUCUCAUUCUGAGUGUUUUUAUA